UCACCAUCACCAUCACCACCAUCACCAUCACCAUCAUCACCACCAUCAUCAUCAUCACCACCAUCACCACCACCAUCAUCAUCAUCACCAUCAUCAUCAUCACCACCAUCAUCACCAUCAUCACCACCAUCAUCAUCACCAUCACCACCAUCAUCAUCACCAUCACCACCAUCAUCACCAUCAUCAUCAUCAUCACCACCAUCACCACCAUCACCACCAUCACCACCACCAUCACCAUCACCAUCAUCACCAUCAUCAUCAUCAUCACCACCAUCAUCACCAUCAUCACCAUCAUCAUCACCAUCAUCACCAUCACCAUCAUCAUCACCAUCAUCAUCAUCAUCAUCAUCACCAUCACCACCAUCAUCAUCAUCAUCAUCACCAUCAUCACCACCAUCAUCAUCACCAUCACCAUCAUCACCAUCACCACCAUCACCACCAUCAUCAUCACCAUCAUCAUCACCAUCAUGAUCACCACCAUCACCAUCAUCAUCAUCACCAUCAUCAUCCAUCAUCAUCACCACCAUCAUCAUCAUCACCAUCACCAUCAUCAUCACCACCAUCACCACCAUCAUCAUCAUCAUCAUCACCAUCAUCAUCACCAUCAUGAUCACCACCAUCAUCAUCACCACCAUCAUCAUCAUCACCACAUCAUCAUCACCAUCAUCACCAUCAUCAUCACCAUCAUCACCAUCAUCACCAUCAUCAUCACCAUCACCAUCACCAUCACCACCAUCA
Long non-coding RNA from Ictalurus punctatus (channel catfish), 738 nucleotides. The record is from Ensembl. Lineage: Eukaryota; Metazoa; Chordata; Actinopteri; Siluriformes; Ictaluridae.